This 518-nucleotide long non-coding RNA is filed under the name Theobroma cacao (cacao). RNAcentral's name for it is "long non-coding RNA (TCAC_LNC004603)". The record is from RNAcentral. Lineage: Eukaryota; Viridiplantae; Streptophyta; Magnoliopsida; Malvales; Malvaceae.
AAAUAUUCUAAUUUUUCAUAAAACAAUUUUUAUAGAACGCUAUGUAAAUAAUUUUUACAGCGUAAAAGCAAAAUAAAUUCCUACAUACAGUAGCACACGCAGCCAGGUAUUCAAAACAUUUAACAAUGACAUGUGGGCCCUCGAAUGACUAAAAGUAAUGAAAGCUGUGAACCUACAGUUUUUGAGGAUGCAAGUCCAACUAUAGCCCUCAACGAAAUGAGCUAUCUACCGACUAUCCUGAGCCUGAAAUAGGUGAAAAAGAGGGUGGUGAGAUUAUAUAAUCCCAGUGAGUAAACAAAUAUCAUCUAAAAUAUCUAAAGCUGAGUAAAUGGAGACAGAUAAAAUAGAUUAGCAUAAAAAUGAUUCACAACAUUUCGAACUCAUUUUAAUAAGAUAAAAUAAAUUCAUUUCACCCAAAUAAAUAACGAGGCUUACGAUUUCCUGAAAAGCUUGACUCGUGCCAAAAUCAUUCUCAUACUCGGUUGUCAGGGAUACCUUGGCCUGGGGCUAUCCCAACC